UACGUGGGGUGCAAGCGUUGUCCGGAAUUAUUGGGCGUAAAGAGCUCGUAGGUGGCCUGUCGCGUCGGCUGUGAAAACUCGGGGCUCAACUCCGAGCUUGCAGUCGAUACGGGCAGGCUAGAGUUCGGCAGGGGAGACUGGAAUUCCUGGUGUAGCGGUGAAAUGCGCAGAUAUCAGGAGGAACACCGGUGGCGAAGGCGGGUCUCUGGGCCGAUACUGACACUGAGGAGCGAAAGCGUGGGGAGCGAACAGG
RNAcentral lists this ribosomal RNA (253 nucleotides) under uncultured bacterium. RNAcentral describes it as "partial 16S ribosomal RNA". It matches the Rfam family "Bacterial small subunit ribosomal RNA", at positions 524 to 776 of the family's 1533-position model. The record is from RNAcentral.